RNAcentral lists this ribosomal RNA (425 nucleotides) under uncultured bacterium. Its description in RNAcentral is "partial 16S ribosomal RNA". It matches the Rfam family "Bacterial small subunit ribosomal RNA", at positions 354 to 796 of the family's 1533-position model. The record is from RNAcentral.
GUGGGGAAUCUUGCGCAAUGGGCGAAAGCCUGACGCAGCCAUGCCGCGUGAAUGAUGAAGGUCUUAGGAUUGUAAAAUUCUUUCACCGGGGACGAUAAUGACGGUACCCGGAGAAGAAGCCCCGGCUAACUUCGUGCCAGCAGCCGCGGUAAUACGAAGGGGGCUAGCGUUGCUCGGAAUUACUGGGCGUAAAGGGCGCGUAGGCGGACAGUUUAGUCAGAGGUGAAAGCCCAGGGCUCAACCUUGGAAUUGCCUUUGAUACUGGCUGUCUUGAGUACGGGAGAGGUGAGUGGAACUCCGAGUGUAGAGGUGAAAUUCGUAGAUAUUCGGAGGAACACCAGUGGCGAAGGCGGCUCACUGGCUCGAUACUGACGCUGAGGUGCGAAAGCGUGGGGAGCAAACAGGAUUAGAUACCCGAGUAGUCC